Molecule: long non-coding RNA, 212 nt
Organism: Carcharodon carcharias (great white shark)
Lineage: Eukaryota; Metazoa; Chordata; Chondrichthyes; Lamniformes; Lamnidae
Exons: 3
Source: RefSeq, a predicted model, not a curated record
UUGCUUUUGAAGGAACAAUAAUAGAUCUUAAAUCGAGGCUGCAGAUACAAGAGGGCCCAGAGCUCCUGAAGGCUAUUCAAGUUCUUUUGAAGAGGAGUCAGAUGGAGUUUCUCAAUCCUGGAGCUGCCUCCACUCAGUUACCUGUGGAUAUAGUUGAUGAACCAUUCAAAUACAUCAAUGUGUAGAGGGAAAUGAGAGCAGUGAUUUCCCCA